CUUAGAACUCAAGGGACACACCCAAGUGAAUGAAGUUUUAACAUCUACUUGCAAUGGAUGUAAUGCCACAUACCACAUCAUGGAAGAAUGUCCCUUUUUGAUGAAUCCAAUUGGGAACAAAGUAGCAUAGGUUAAUGCUGCCUACUACAAACCUACAGAUGACCCUUAUGCACCAAUGUAUAACCCAGGAUGGAGGAAUCAUCCUAACUUUUCUUGAUCACAAGGGUCAAAUCCCAGU
This 238-nucleotide long non-coding RNA is filed under the name Elaeis guineensis (African oil palm). Its description in RNAcentral is "long non-coding RNA (EGUI_LNC076159)". Lineage: Eukaryota; Viridiplantae; Streptophyta; Magnoliopsida; Arecales; Arecaceae. The record is from RNAcentral.